GACGAACGCUGGCGGCGUGUCUAAUACAUGCAAGUCGAACGCGGGGGGGACGGGUGAGUAACACGUGGGUAACCUGCCCAUCAGUGGGGAUAACACUUGUAAUCAGGCGCUAAACCGAUAUUGAUGGCUUGUACCUGGGUGCAUUAGCUAGUUGGUGAGGUAACGGCUCACCAAGGCCACGAUGCAUAGCCGACCUGAGAGGGUGAGCGGCCACACUGGGACUGAGACACGGCCCAGACUCCUACGGGAGGCAGCAGUAGGGAAUCGUCGGCAAUGGACGAAAGUCUGACCGAGCAACGCCGCGUGAGUGAAGAAGGUUUUCGGAUCGUAAAGCUCUUUUGUUAGAGAAGCGGUACCUAACGAGAAAGCCACGGCUAACUACGUGCCAGCAGCCGCGGUAAUAC
RNAcentral lists this ribosomal RNA (404 nucleotides) under uncultured bacterium. RNAcentral's name for it is "partial 16S ribosomal RNA". It matches the Rfam family "Bacterial small subunit ribosomal RNA", at positions 28 to 526 of the family's 1533-position model. The record is from RNAcentral.